This 386-nucleotide ribosomal RNA is filed under the name Crocidura lamottei. RNAcentral describes it as "partial 16S ribosomal RNA". It matches the Rfam family "Bacterial large subunit ribosomal RNA", at positions 1928 to 2563 of the family's 2925-position model. Lineage: Eukaryota; Metazoa; Chordata; Mammalia; Eulipotyphla; Soricidae. The record is from RNAcentral.
CGGCCGCGGUAUCCUGACCGUGCAAAGGUAGCAUAAUCAUUUGUUCCUUAAUUAGGGACUUGUAUGAAUGGCCCCACGAGGGUUUGACUGUCUCUUACUUUUAAUCAGUGAAAUUGACCUUCCCGUGAAGAGGCGGGAAUGAAAAAAUAAGACGAGAAGACCCUAUGGAGCUUUAAUUAACGUGUUCUGAACAAUAAAUUUUGGUUGGGGUGACCUCGGAGUAUAACAAAACCUCCAAACCAAGACUUACCAGUCAAGGUCAAUCUUAUUGAUCAACGAAACAAGUUACCCUAGGGAUAACAGCGCAAUCCUAUUUGAGAGUUCAUAUCGACAAUAGGGUUUACGACCUCGAUGUUGGAUCAGGACACCCAAAUGGUGCAGCAGCU